RNAcentral lists this ribosomal RNA (468 nucleotides) under uncultured bacterium. RNAcentral's name for it is "partial 16S ribosomal RNA". It matches the Rfam family "Bacterial small subunit ribosomal RNA", at positions 28 to 507 of the family's 1533-position model. The record is from RNAcentral.
GACGAACGCUGGCGGCGUGCUUAACACAUGCAAGUCGAACGGAAAGGCCCUGCUUUUGUGGGGUGCUCGAGUGGCGAACGGGUGAGUAACACGUGAGUAACCUGCCCUUGACUUUGGGAUAACUUCAGGAAACUGGGGCUAAUACCGGAUAGGAGCUCCUGCUGCAUGGUGGGGGUUGGAAAGUUUCGGCGGUUGGGGAUGGACUCGCGGCUUAUCAGCUUGUUGGUGGGGUAGUGGCUUACCAAGGCUUUGACGGGUAGCCGGCCUGAGAGGGUGACCGGCCACAUUGGGACUGAGAUACGGCCCAGACUCCUACGGGAGGCAGCAGUGGGGAAUAUUGUACAAUGGGCGGAAGCCUGAUGCAGCAACGCCGCGUGCGGGAUGACGGCCUUCGGGUUGUAAACCGCUUUCGCCUGUGGCGAAGCGUGAGUGACGGUAAUGGGUAAAGAAGCACCGGCUAACUACGUG